CAUCAUGGAAUAGGGAUUAUAAAUUCGAAUUCUGUCAUAUGAGAAUAUAUUCAUGUAAUGCUUAAGAAAAUUUGUAAAUGAGUUCCAAUAGCUUAUGGAAUAGGGACCCAAUUUUAUGGGGUUCCAGUGGCUUCUGUAUUGAUUAUUUAGCUUAAUCUUUCUAUCUACCCAAUGGGACUCAAUGCUCAGUCUAGAAGAUACCAUCAAAGAUACUUAGUUUUGCAGUUCUCAAACUCUGGUUUUGUCUCCAGAGAUAACAUGCUUGUUAACAGCAAAAAUGUUUUAAAAUAAAUAUAUAUAGAGGUGAGAAAUAACAGACCUCAACCCUAUUGUCCCUCUGCAAAUUUGUGUACACGGAGUCAAUCUCUUACCUUUCUCUAAAAAUGCAAACUUUUCAAAAAGUUCAGUGAAUAGAAGAUUUGGACAAAUAAAUCUGGACAAAGAGGAGAAGUCUGGAGAUAAAUGUGAGAAGGGAUGGACAGGCAGUAGAAACAAAUGUGAAACUGUUUGAGAAGCAUAUUCCAGAAGUCUUGUGGUCUUUCAGUGUACCUUCGUUGAUUUGGGAUCUACCAUACCAUUCUCUCACUCAAAGGGAAAACCUAUAAUGGUAGCAGGUUGUAAGAGAGACCCAAUCUGGGAAUAUUUUAAUGAAGUUCCUCUACCUGUGGGUAAGACCGGCAUGCGUGCAAAAUGCAAACAGUGCAACAAAGAAAUGCAAGCCCUAGUUGUCUGAAUGAAACAACAUUAUGAGAAGCGUUCCUUCUCAGGAGAAAACUGCUUUGAAGAUGAUGAAAGGAACAUGUCUGAACAUGCAGGAUCUUCAGGAGAAUCCAUCGUCAACAUACAGGAUACUGAAGACUAUCAACCUUCAAGAUCACCAUCAUUUUCUAUAGUUUCAGAGUUAUCUGCCAGUGAGAGUGUUUCAGUCACAUCAUGUAUGUCAGAUAGCCACAGUAUGUCACCUGUAGCAAAAAGAGAAAAAAAAAAAAAAACUCCAUCAUCCAAAAAAAACCAACCAUAGAUAAGUUUGUGAUAAGAACCAGCAGAUUACAAAAAGAGGUGAUUGAUUGAUUGGAAAAAUUGCCGGUUUGUUUAUG
Chelonia mydas (Green sea turtle) is the source of this 1097-nucleotide long non-coding RNA. RefSeq lists it as uncharacterized. NCBI's taxonomy places the organism in Eukaryota, Metazoa, Chordata, Testudines, Cheloniidae. The record is from RefSeq and is a predicted model, not a curated record. The transcript is spliced from 2 exons.